Molecule: ribosomal RNA, 861 nt
Filed under: uncultured bacterium
Lineage: Bacteria
Description: bacterial SSU rRNA
Rfam family: Bacterial small subunit ribosomal RNA
Source: RNAcentral
AGAGUUUGAUCAUGGCUCAGAACGAACGCUGGCGGCGUGCCUAACACAUGCAAGUCGAACGCGAACGUCUUCUUCGGAGGACAAGUAGAGUGGCGCACGGGUGAGUAACGCGUAAGUAAUCUGUCCUGGCAUCUGGGAUAACCUAUCGAAAGGUGAGCUAAUACCGGAUACGUCCUGCGGGAGAAAGACCGCCUCUGUUGUAAGCGGUUGUGCGAGGAGGAGCUUGCGUACCAUUAGCUGGUUGGUGGGGUAACGGCCUACCAAGGCGACGAUGGUUAGCGGGUCUGAGAGGAUGAUCCGCCACACUGGAACUGAAACACGGACCAGACUCCUACGGGAGGCAGCAGUGAGGAAUAUUGCGCAAUGGGGGCAACCCUGACGCAGCGACGCCGCGUGGAUGAUGAAGGCCUUCGGGUUGUAAAAUCCUGUCAGAUGGGAAGAAGUGUACGAUGGUUAAGAGCUGUCGUAUUUGACGGUACCAUCAAAGGAAGCACCGGCUAACUCCGUGCCAGCAGCCGCGGUAAUACGGAGGGUGCGAGCGUUGUUCGGAUUUACUGGGCGUAAAGCGCGCGUAGGCGGUGUGAUCAGUCAGCUGUGAAAGCCCAUGGCUCAACCAUGGACGUGCAGUUGAAACUGUCAGACUUGAGUACUGGAGGGGGUGGUGGAAUUCCCGGUGUAGAGGUGAAAUUCGUAGAUAUCGGGAGGAAUACCGGUGGCGAAGGCGACCGCCUGGCCAGAUACUGACGCUGAGGUGCGAAAGCGUGGGGGAGCAACAGGAUUAGAUACCCUGGUAGUCCACGCCGUAAACGAUGAGAACUAGGUGUUGGGAUGGAUACCAUUUCAUUGGCGGAGCUAACGCAU